CCUACGGGUGGCAGCAGUGAGGAAUAUUGGUCAAUGGGCGCUAGCCUGAUCCAGCCACGUCGCGUGAAGGAUGACUGCCCUAUGGGUUGUAAACUUCUUUUGUAUGGGAAUAAAAUUCACCUUGUAUGCUGCUUUGCAUGUCCCUUAUGAAUACGGCUCGGCUAACUCCGUGCCAGCAGCCGCGUUAAUACGGAGGACACGCGUGUUAUCCGGAUUUAUUGGGGUUAAAGGGAGCGUAGGCGGGUCGUUAAGUCAGUUGUGAAAGCUCGCGGCUUAACCGUAACAGUGCAGUUGAUACUGGAUGCCUGGAGUACAGGAGAGGUAUGCGGAAUUCGUGGUGUAGCGGGGAAAUGCUUAGAUAUUACGAAGAACUCCGAUGGCGAAGGCAGCCUGCUGGACUGUAACUGACGCUGAGGCUCGAAAGUGUGGGUAGCAAACAGGAUUAGAUACCCGUGUAGUC
RNAcentral lists this ribosomal RNA (460 nucleotides) under uncultured bacterium. RNAcentral describes it as "partial 16S ribosomal RNA". It matches the Rfam family "Bacterial small subunit ribosomal RNA", at positions 338 to 795 of the family's 1533-position model. The record is from RNAcentral.